CAUAUGCAUACUGUAAUAAUGUAUAUGUACAGUUGUUACAUUUUCCGGGGCAAUUAUUCUGAGGUUGUUUCAAUCGGACCUUAUUCGCGGACCGAAUUAAGGUUCACGCAACCAUGCUUUGUAGACGUUAUGAGUAAACAGUUCAUUAAUCAAUAUUCUGUAAUCAUGUACUUUUAAAAUUACCCCCCCCCCCUCCCCCCCUCCCCCCUCCUCCGCGAAUAUCAUCAAAUAAUACAGAAUUUAUUGUCAGUUGAAAUUAUGUCUUUUUCUUUUGGUGUGGUCAUAGACUAAUAACAUUUAUUACCUGGGUUGUUAUUUUUACCGCAAACAUAGCGAAAAUAAAUCCCCCGCGAAUAUUAUAAAAUAUACAGAAUUUUUGUUAACGUUGAGGUCAAGGUUACUGUUAUAACGUACACGGGUAUUUUGGUGCAAUCAUAGACUAACAUUACGGUUAUUGGCUUGUAGUAACAUAUUCAGCUUAAGUGUAGUGUGUAGAGAUUAUAGUAAGUGGAAAUCUCCAUGAAAAUGAAUUUGAUAACCGAUACUGAAUAUAUAGAAUCUUUAAUAUAAAACUACACGAUAAUCUAGGACUUGGUACUAAACCUAGGAUGUGAACAAAUGUUGAAAUAUGACAGGGUAAUUGUAUUAGCCAAAUAAAUAAUCUUUUUUUUUAAACAUUUUUUAUAUAUAUAUUUGAAUUUUGUUCUAAAGUACAUGAAACACAGGUCCAUAUUCUGAACCGAACCAAUAGCCAUCAAAGUCUUGACAAUUACCUCUUAAGGAAUUGAAGCAUGUUAAUGUUGUAGACGUGUUCCACAGGGUAGCAUAAAAAAUUGCCAAGUUGUUUAAAAGGCGAUUAGGCUAAUUGGAAUUUCUCAAAAAAUAAAAAUCCUGAUAGACAUAUAUCUGGUAGUGUUUACCUUAAUUUUACAAAAACUCUAUAGCACUCUUCAGUUCCUUCCUGCCUGCCAUUUGUACUAAUUUACCGACACGAGUUUUGAGGGAAAUGAGUAAUUAGAUUAUCACUAAUCUAAUCAUGUAAUUAAGGUCAUCACCUUUUGAUCAACUGGACAAUGUCCUUCUAUACAAUCUGAUUAUGUUCUAUGUCUCUGAUAACACUUAAAGUACUUUUUAUCAUUUGGAACGUAACAGCAAACCCUAAGUUGAGAUGGUUGGAUUUUCUCAAGAUUUAUGUGCUAACAUCACUAAUGAAACAAAAGACGCAUGCUCCUUAUGAACACAGGGUCCUACAUAUGAAAUAUUAAUAAAGCAAGUAACGCUUACUUCUCAGGAACCCAGUGUCCUACUCAACUCGAUCUAUAAAGCUAAAUACGCUCACUCUUCAGGUACACAUGUUCCUAUUUUAUAAGGAUUAUAUAAGAUCCAUGAAGAGAAAGACGCUUUCCAGUAACAUAUGGUGCUAUUGUACAAGAUCAGUGAAACAAACGACGCUCACCCUUCAGAAAUACAUGGUCUUAAUGUUAUUCUAAGUUACUUGUGUACCGCCUUGUGUUAUUGUUGUUUUUACUCAAUCGAUUGUCUUGCUACAUUUGAUUCCCUCUGUCAUAAUAAUGUUAAUAUACCUCUUUCAUUUUUGUAUUUCGUUAUAAGUCAGUCUGAUCUGUACCUAAUUAAAAUAUGUUUGAGAGACAUUAAUUCUCAUUUAGAGUACCAUAUUGUACAUUUGCUAAAUAAAGUAUUGCAAAUUACUAAUAAACAAAUAUAUAACAUAGCGAUUUUGUUUCUCUUUAUAUUAGAAGAAUAUUGCUAUUUGACAAUAACAUGAUGUGUGGCAUUUUAUGUUAAUUUAGGUUACAAUAUUUCGUUAAGACCACAGGAGCUUGACACGUUCCUAUGGCCGAAAUCAAAAUAUAAGAUUGUCUACCCCUAGAUUAUUUAUUAUUGACAAUAAUAAGUAAUUGAGGGGUCCGACCCUUGCCAGUAAGAAGUGUUUUAAGGAUCAAACCAUGGGGUUAAUUUAUUUUCUGUAUCACAAAACGUGUCAAGCCCCUGUGAUUAAAAUUGAUGCGCUCUAGAUUCUGUAGUUUCCUUAACAAUGAGUGAAUGGACUGCGGAUCCUCCAGAUUAAAAAUUUGGAAACAAAUGAUAUCGCCAUCCACGUGUAUAUCACAGAUUAACCAGGUUCUACUUGCAGUGCAAGCCGAUUUUACCUCCUGGGAGCAAUAACGGCUAUGUAAAUACGUCGGCAUUGGUGAUAUGACCAAAUAGGUCCAUUUUAUAGUGUCAUCACACUGAAAUGCCAUACGUAGACACAACGACAUGACAGCAGGCCUUGUCACAUUAUACGGUUAACAAGGCAAACUUGUCCAUAUAAUAAUAAUCCAUUCGUCAAGUAGACAUUAAUAGGAACCAAUUUGAUUAAUAAGGUCAAGAGACAAUCUACAUUCUUUAUCGCUUUGAAGGAUACGCAAUUCUAAUGUCAAAAGCGACUUAUAUCCAUGUGGGGUUUCUGAUAAUGAAUGACAAUAUGAUCACAAUAAAUUUUAAAGAAAAUAUAGACACAUAUAUUAAGCACUGGACAUUGAAGAUUCAAUUUGCUGGCUGUUUUUUGAGAUAGUUGCAGCAGGUUCAUUAGUUUAAUUAACACUGGCAUCGUGCUCAAAAUAAAUAACAAAGCACAUUAAAUUUGUAUAUUCUUAUGAAGUAUUUUAAUUAUAAUAUUUACAUUUUAUUGUAAUGACAUGUCAGUGCAUAAUCUUGAUUUAAUGAGUUGUCCUCACAUAAUAUAUACAUAUUUCCUGAAUCUAUUACCAUAUUACAUGGGGACACAUUGUACUAAUAAUCCGGUAUCAUGUUAAAUCAUGAUCAGCAUCAAAGUGUGAAUCUGGUUAAAAUAUUUCAUCAUGUAAUUAUAGCCCUUUUUUUUAGGUCGAUAGAUGUUUUAUCAACAUGAAAAAAAUAUCGACCGAGGACGAUUUAGAGCAUUCUACCAAUUUGUCAUUAUAAGAAUAUCUAAUUUUCGGCCUCUUUU
This is a long non-coding RNA of Pecten maximus, 2992 nucleotides long. RefSeq lists it as uncharacterized. The record is from RefSeq and is a predicted model, not a curated record. NCBI's taxonomy places the organism in Eukaryota, Metazoa, Mollusca, Bivalvia, Pectinida, Pectinidae. The transcript has 2 exons.